This 77-nucleotide non-coding RNA is filed under the name Sus scrofa (pig). Lineage: Eukaryota; Metazoa; Chordata; Mammalia; Artiodactyla; Suidae. The record is from RNAcentral.
CGAGGGAACCGAGGCUGGCUGGGUCUCGAGGUGGGGGCCCUCUCGCUUCACUUCCACCCAGCCUCAGUCCCCUCGAU